GUUCUCGCUACUGCAAAUAAUCAAAUUCAAUUGGAAAGAAACUUCGAGACCUG
RNAcentral lists this non-coding RNA (53 nucleotides) under Cavenderia fasciculata. Lineage: Eukaryota; Evosea; Eumycetozoa; Acytosteliales; Cavenderiaceae. The record is from Rfam by way of RNAcentral.